This 218-nucleotide ribosomal RNA is filed under the name uncultured bacterium. RNAcentral describes it as "partial 16S ribosomal RNA". It matches the Rfam family "Bacterial small subunit ribosomal RNA", at positions 524 to 739 of the family's 1533-position model. The record is from RNAcentral.
UACGUAGGGUGCGAGCGUUAAUCGGAAUUACUGGGCGUAAAGCGUGCGCAGGCGGUUUUGUAAGCCAGAUGUGAAAUCCCCGGGCUUACCUGGGAAUGGCAUUUGGGACUGCAAGGCUUGGAGUGACGGCAGAGGAGACUGGAAUUCCGUGGUGUAGCAGUGAAAUGCGUAGAUAUCAGGAGGAACACCGAUGGCGAAGGCAGGUCUCUGGGCUGACA